This 1345-nucleotide ribosomal RNA is filed under the name uncultured bacterium. Its description in RNAcentral is "bacterial SSU rRNA". It matches the Rfam family "Bacterial small subunit ribosomal RNA", at positions 28 to 1381 of the family's 1533-position model. The record is from RNAcentral.
GAUGAACGCUAGCGGGAGGCCUAACACAUGCAAGCCGAGCGGUAGAGAUCUUUCGGGAUCUUGAGAGCGGCGUACGGGUGCGGAACACGUGUGCAACCUGCCUUUAUCUGGGGGAUAGCCUUUCGAAAGGAAGAUUAAUACCCCAUAAUAUGUUGGAUGGCAUCAUUCGACAUUGAAAACUCCGGUGGAUAGAGAUGGGCACGCGCAAGAUUAGAUAGUUGGUGAGGUAACGGCUCACCAAGUCUGCGAUCUUUAGGGGGCCUGAGAGGGUGAUCCCCCACACUGGUACUGAGACACGGACCACACUCCUACGGGAGGCAGCAGUGAGGAAUAUUGGACAAUGGGUGAGAGCCUGAUCCAGCCAUCCCGCGUGAAGGACGACGGCCCUAUGGGUUGUAAACUUCUUUUGUAUAGGGAUAAACCUACUCUCGUGAGAGUAGCUGAAGGUACUAUACGAAUAAGCACCGGCUAACUCCGUGCCAGCAGCCGCGGUAAUACGGAGGGUGCAAGCGUUACCCGGAUUUAUUGGGUUUAAAGGGUCCGUAGGCGGAUCUGUAAGUCAGUGGUGAAAUCUCACAGCUUAACUGUGAAACUGCCAUUGAUACUGCAGGUCUUGAGUGUUGUUGAAGUAGCUGGAAUAAGUAGUGUAGCGGUGAAAUGCAUAGAUAUUACUUAGAACACCAAUUGCGAAGGCAGGUUACUAAGCAACAACUGACGCUGAUGGACGAAAGCGUGGGGAGCGAACAGGAUUAGAUACCCUGGUAGUCCACGCCGUAAACGAUGCUAACUCGUUUUUGGGCUUUCGGGUUCAGAGACUAAGCGAAAGUGAUAAGUUAGCCACCUGGGGAGUACGAACGCAAGUUUGAAACUCAAAGGAAUUGACGGGGGCCCGCACAAGCGGUGGAUUAUGUGGUUUAAUUCGAUGAUACGCGAGGAACCUUACCAAGGCUUAAAUGGGAAAUGACAGGUUUAGAAAUAGACUUUUCUUCGGACAUUUUUCAAGGUGCUGCAUGGUUGUCGUCAGCUCGUGCCGUGAGGUGUUAGGUUAAGUCCUGCAACGAGCGCAACCCCUGUCACUAGUUGCCAUCAUUAAGUUGGGGACUCUAGUGAGACUGCCUACGCAAGUAGAGAGGAAGGUGGGGAUGACGUCAAAUCAUCACGGCCCUUACGCCUUGGGCCACACACGUAAUACAAUGGCCGGUACAGAGGGCAGCUACACAGCGAUGUGAUGCAAAUCUCGAAAGCCGGUCUCAGUUCGGAUUGGAGUCUGCAACUCGACUCUAUGAAGCUGGAAUCGCUAGUAAUCGCGCAUCAGCCAUGGCGCGGUGAAUACGUUCCCGGGCCU